RNAcentral lists this ribosomal RNA (468 nucleotides) under uncultured bacterium. RNAcentral's name for it is "partial 16S ribosomal RNA". It matches the Rfam family "Bacterial small subunit ribosomal RNA", at positions 28 to 507 of the family's 1533-position model. The record is from RNAcentral.
GAUGAACGCUGGCGGCGUGCUUAAUACAUGCAAGUCGAACGGAAAGGCCCUGCUCUUGCGGGGUGCUCGAGUGGCGAACGGGUGAGUAACACGCGAGUAUCCUGCACUUGUCUUUGGGAUAACUUCAGGAAACUCGGGCUAAUAUCGCAUAGGAGCUCCUGCUGCAUGUGGGUGGUUGGAAAGAUUCGGCGGUGGGGGAUGGACUCGCGGCUUAUCAGCUUGUUGGUGAGGUAGUGGCUUACCAAGGCUUUGACGGGUAGCCGGCCUGGGAGGUUGACCGGCGACAAUGCGACUGAGAUACGGCGCAGACGCGUACGGGAGGCAGCAGUGGGAAAUAUUGCGCAGUAAGCGGAAGCCUGAUGCAGAAACGCCGCGUGCGGGAUGACGGCCUUCGGGUUGUGAACCGCUUUCGCCUGUGACGAAGCGUGAGUGACGGUAAUGGGUAAAGAAGCAACGGCUAACUACGUG